GCGAACGGCGGUGGAGUGGCCGGGGUAAGACGUAGGGGGAGAGCGGUGGCGGGAGUUAUUGGGCGGAAAGGGCGUGUAGGCGGCCAAGCAGGUCCGCGGUGAAAACUGGAGGCUCAACCUCGAGAAGUCGGUGGAAACCGUUUGGGUAGAGUCCGGAAGAGGAGAGUGGAAUUCCCGGGGUAGCGGUGAAAUGCGCAGAUAUCGGGAAGAACACCCGUGGCGAAGGCGGCUCUCUGGGACGGUACUGACGCUGAGACGCGAAAGCGUGGGGAGCGAACAGGAUUAGAUACCCCAGUAGUC
Molecule: ribosomal RNA, 300 nt
Filed under: uncultured Bacillus sp.
Lineage: Bacteria; Bacillati; Bacillota; Bacilli; Caryophanales; Bacillaceae
Description: bacterial SSU rRNA
Rfam family: Bacterial small subunit ribosomal RNA
Source: RNAcentral